GCUUGAGCACGUAGGUGGGUUUGUAAGUCAGAUGUGAAAGCNUUCUGUUCAACGGAAGAAUUGCAUCUGAAACUACAAGUCUUGAGUGUAGGAGGGGAGAAUGGAACUUCUGGUGGAGCGGUGAAAUCCGUAGAUAUCAGAAGGAACGCCGGCGGCGAAAGCGAUUCUCUGGCCUAUUACUGACACUCAGUGUGCGAAAGCUAGGGGAGCAAACGGGAUUAGGUACCCCGGUAGUCCUAGCCGUAAACGAUGGGCACUAAGUAGUGGGAAUUACCGAUGUUCUCUCUGCCGUAGCUAACGCAUUAAGUGCCCCGCCUGGGGAGUACGGCCGCAAGGCUAAAACUCAAAAGAAUCGACGGGGGCUCGCACAAGCGGUGGAGCAUGUGGCUUAAUUCGAUGCAACGCGAAGAACUUUACCGGGGCUUGACAUGGUAGAAGUAGGAACCCGAAAGGGUAACGAACGGUAUCCAGUCCGUGACUAUCACAGGUGUUGCAUGGCUGUCGUCAGCUCGUGUCGUGAGACGUUGGGUUAAGUCCCCUAACGAGCGAAACCCUUGUUUUUAGUUACCAGCGGGUUAUGCCGGGUACUCUAGAAAGACUGCCGUCGUCAAGACGGAGGAAGGUGGGGAUGACGUCAAGUCAUCAUGGCCCUUAUGCCCCGGGCUGCACACGUGCUACAAUGGUCGGUACAAACGGAAGCGAAGCCGAGAGGUGAAGCGAAUCCAAGC
RNAcentral lists this ribosomal RNA (728 nucleotides) under uncultured Planctomycetota bacterium. RNAcentral describes it as "bacterial SSU rRNA". It matches the Rfam family "Bacterial small subunit ribosomal RNA", at positions 558 to 1278 of the family's 1533-position model. Lineage: Bacteria; Pseudomonadati; Planctomycetota. The record is from RNAcentral.